AAGUCGUAACAAGGUUUCCGUAGGUGAACCUGCGGAAGGAUCAUUAUCGAGUUUUGAACGGGUUGUAGUUGGCCUCUCACGAGGCAUGUGCACGCCUGGCUCAUCCACUCUUAACCUCUGUGCACUUUAUGUAAGAGAAAAAAUGGUGGAAGCUUCCAGGAUCUCGCGAGAGGUCUUCGGUUGAACAAGCCGUUUUUCUUUCUUAUGUUUUACUACAAACGCUUCAGUUAUAGAAUGUCAACUGUGUAUAACACAUUUAUAUACAA
RNAcentral lists this unclassified non-coding RNA (266 nucleotides) under plant metagenome. RNAcentral's name for it is "partial contains small subunit ribosomal RNA and internal transcribed spacer 1". The stretch from base 1 to 46 matches the Rfam family "Eukaryotic small subunit ribosomal RNA", at positions 1786 to 1831 of the family's 1831-position model. The record is from RNAcentral.